This 253-nucleotide ribosomal RNA is filed under the name uncultured bacterium. Its description in RNAcentral is "partial 16S ribosomal RNA". It matches the Rfam family "Bacterial small subunit ribosomal RNA", at positions 524 to 776 of the family's 1533-position model. The record is from RNAcentral.
UACGAGGGGGGCAAGCGUUGUUCGGAAUUAUUGGGCGUAAAGGGCGCGUAGGCGGUGCGGUAAGACUGUGGUGAAAUCUUCGGGCUCAACUCGAAGCCUGCCGCGGUGACUGCCGUGCUGGAGUGUGGGAGAGGUGAGUGGAAUUCCCGGUGUAGCGGUGAAAUGCGUAGAUAUCAGGAGGAACACCUGUGGCGAAAGCGGCUCACUGGACCAUAACUGACGCUGAUGCACGAAAGCUAGGGGAGCAAACAGG